This 301-nucleotide ribosomal RNA is filed under the name uncultured bacterium. RNAcentral describes it as "partial 16S ribosomal RNA". It matches the Rfam family "Bacterial small subunit ribosomal RNA", at positions 509 to 807 of the family's 1533-position model. The record is from RNAcentral.
CAGCCGCCGCGGUAAUGCGAAGGGGGCUAGCGUUGCUCGGAAUGACUGGGCGUAAAGGGCGCGUAGGCGGUCACGAUAGUCAGAUGUGAAAUUCCUGGGCUUAACCUGGGGACUGCAUUUGAUACUGUGUGGCUUGAGUGUGGAAGAGGGUCGUGGAAUUCCCAGUGUAGAGGUGAAAUUCGUAGAUAUUGGGAAGAACACCGGUGGCGAAGGCGGCGACCUGGUCCAUAACUGACGCUGAGGCGCGAAAGCGUGGGGAGCAAACAGGAUUAGAUACCCCCGUAGUCCCUGUCUCUUAUAC